Molecule: ribosomal RNA, 500 nt
Filed under: Pseudomonas plecoglossicida
Lineage: Bacteria; Pseudomonadati; Pseudomonadota; Gammaproteobacteria; Pseudomonadales; Pseudomonadaceae
Description: bacterial SSU rRNA
Rfam family: Bacterial small subunit ribosomal RNA
Source: RNAcentral
CAGGAUGGGCGGAGACCUACACAUGCAGUCGAGCGGAUAGACGGGAGCUUGCUCCUUGAUUCAGCGGCGGACGGGUGAGUAAUGCCUAGGAAUCUGCCUGGUAGUGGGGGACAACGUUUCGAAAGGAACGCUAAUACCGCAUACGUCCUACGGGAGAAAGCAGGGGACCUUCGGGCCUUGCGCUAUCAGAUGAGCCUAGGUCGGAUUAGCUAGUUGGUGGGGUAAUGGCUCACCAAGGCGACGAUCCGUAACUGGUCUGAGAGGAUGAUCAGUCACACUGGAACUGAGACACGGUCCAGACUCCUACGGGAGGCAGCAGUGGGGAAUAUUGGACAAUGGGCGAAAGCCUGAUCCAGCCAUGCCGCGUGUGUGAAGAAGGUCUUCGGAUUGUAAAGCACUUUAAGUUGGGAGGAAGGGCAUUAACCUAAUACGUUAGUGUUUUGACGUUACCGACAGAAUAAGCACCGGCUAACUCUGUGCCAGCAGCCGCGGUAAUACAG